RNAcentral lists this RNase P RNA (201 nucleotides) under Acidimicrobiaceae bacterium. RNAcentral's name for it is "partial RNase P RNA component class A". It matches the Rfam family "Bacterial RNase P class A", at positions 153 to 367 of the family's 367-position model. From Rfam's summary of the family: Ribonuclease P (RNase P) is a ubiquitous endoribonuclease, found in archaea, bacteria and eukarya as well as chloroplasts and mitochondria. The record is from RNAcentral. Lineage: Bacteria; Bacillati; Actinomycetota; Acidimicrobiia; Acidimicrobiales; Acidimicrobiaceae.
GGUGAAACGGUGCGGUAAGAGCGCACCAGCGCUCCGGGCGACCGGAGCGGCUAGGCAAACCCCACCCGGAGCAAGAUCGAGCAGGGAGAGGGCGGCCCGCCCGCAGACACUCCCGGGUAGAUCGCAAAGAUGGAUGGUCAUCCAAGGAGAUCCCGGCAACGGGCUCCCGGACAGAAUCCCGCCUACAGGCCGGCUCCCCGC